AGCAGCCGCGGUAAUUCCAGCUCCAAUAGCGUAUAUUAAAGUUGUUGCAGUUAAAAAGCUCGUAGUUGAAUUUCGGGGUCAGUAGAUUGGUCGUGCCACUGGUAUGUACUGGUCUCACUGGCUCCUCCUUCCUGAUGAACCGUAAUGCCAUUAAUUUGGUGUUGCGGGGAGACUGGACUGUUACUUUGAAAAAAUUAGAGUGUUUAAAGCAGGCUAACGCUUGAAUACAUUAGCAUGGAAUAAUGAAAUAGGACGUUCGAUCUUAUUUUGUUGGUUUCUAAGAUUGACGUAAUGAUUAAUAGGGAUAGUUGGGGGCAUUAGUAUUCAAUUGUCAGAGGUGAAAUUCUUGGAUUUAUUGAAGACUAACUACUGCGAAAGCAUUUGCCAAGGAUGUUUUCAUUAAUCAAGAACGAAAGUUAGGGGAUCGAAGACGAUCAGAUACCGUCGUAGUCUUAACCAUAAACUAUGCCGACUAGGGAUCGGAUGA
RNAcentral lists this ribosomal RNA (487 nucleotides) under uncultured Glomus. RNAcentral describes it as "SSU rRNA". It matches the Rfam family "Eukaryotic small subunit ribosomal RNA", at positions 569 to 1060 of the family's 1831-position model. The record is from RNAcentral. Lineage: Eukaryota; Fungi; Glomeromycota; Glomeromycetes; Glomerales; Glomeraceae.